This 497-nucleotide ribosomal RNA is filed under the name uncultured bacterium. RNAcentral's name for it is "partial 16S ribosomal RNA". It matches the Rfam family "Bacterial small subunit ribosomal RNA", at positions 28 to 507 of the family's 1533-position model. The record is from RNAcentral.
GAUGAACGCUGGCGGCGUGCCUAAUACAUGCAAGUCGAGCGAACAGACGAGGAGCUUGCCCCUCUGACGUUAGCGGCGGACGGGUGAGUAACACGUGGAUAACCUACCUAUAAGACUGGGAUAACUUCGGGAAACCGGAGCUAAUACCGGAUAAUAUAUUGAACCGCAUGGUUCAAUAGUGAAAGACGGUUUUGCUGUCACUUAUAGAUGGAUCCGCGCCGCAUUAGCUAGUUGGUAAGGUAACGGCUUACCAAGGCGACGAUGCGUAGCCGACCUGAGAGGGUGAUCGGCCACACUGGAACUGAGACACGGUCCAGACUCCUACGGGAGGCAGCAGUAGGGAAUCUUCCGCAAUGGGCGAAAGCCUGACGGAGCAACGCCGCGUGAGUGAUGAAGGUCUUCGGAUCGUAAAACUCUGUUAUUAGGGAAGAACAAAUGUGUAUGUAACUAUGCACGUCUUGACGGUACCUAAUCAGAAAGCCACGGCUAACUACGUG